CGACCGGCGCACGGGUGAGUAACGCGUAUCCAACCUUCCCAUUACUGUGGGAUAACCUGCCGAAAGGCAGACUAAUACCGCAUAGUCUUCGAUGACGGCAUCAGAUUUGAAGUAAAGAUUUAUCGGUAAUGGAUGGGGAUGCGUCUGAUUAGCUUGUUGGCGGGGUAACGGCCCACCAAGGCUACGAUCAGUAGGGGUUCUGAGAGGAAGGUCCCCCACAUUGGAACUGAGACACGGUCCAA
Molecule: ribosomal RNA, 242 nt
Filed under: uncultured Bacteroidales bacterium
Lineage: Bacteria; Pseudomonadati; Bacteroidota; Bacteroidia; Bacteroidales
Description: partial 16S ribosomal RNA
Rfam family: Bacterial small subunit ribosomal RNA
Source: RNAcentral